GAUGAAGAACGUAGCGAAAUGCGAUAAGUAAUGUGAAUUGCAGAAUUCAGUGAAUCAUCGAAUCUUUGAACGCACAUUGCGCCCCCUGGUAUUCCGGGGGGCAUGCCUGUUCGAGCGUCAUUUCACCACUCAAGCCUCGCUUGGUAUUGGGCAACGCGGUCCGCCGCGUGCCUCAAAUCGACCGGCUGGGUCUUCUGUCCCCUAAGCGUUGUGGAAACUAUUCGCUAAAGGGUGUUCGGGAGGCUACGCCGUAAAACAACCCCAUUUCUAAGGUUGACCUCGGAACAGGUAGGGAUACCCGCUGAACUUAAGCAUAUCAAAAGCGGAGGA
RNAcentral lists this unclassified non-coding RNA (330 nucleotides) under soil metagenome. RNAcentral describes it as "partial contains 5.8S ribosomal RNA, internal transcribed spacer 2, and large subunit ribosomal RNA". The stretch from base 1 to 120 matches the Rfam family "5.8S ribosomal RNA", at positions 35 to 154 of the family's 154-position model. The record is from RNAcentral.